Molecule: ribosomal RNA, 693 nt
Filed under: Scolecobasidium tshawytschae
Lineage: Eukaryota; Fungi; Ascomycota; Dothideomycetes; Venturiales; Sympoventuriaceae
Description: eukaryotic LSU rRNA
Rfam family: 5.8S ribosomal RNA (bases 280-432)
Source: RNAcentral
CAUUCUGAGUGCUUGGGUCCGUUUGUGGGACCGGUUACCCGACCUUUCUGUCAUUUGCACCGGCCGAGUUGGAGCCGUUUUGUCGACGUCUGAGUCUCGCUUGCGGGAGGAGGGCGGAGGGGAGACGGGGACGAUGAGGACGGUAGUGUAAUUUCGGCGGAGGAGGUAGGAGUGUUUCCUUUCCGGAAAGGGAAGGAGGACGACCUGCCCGCCGCCGGCGGUAUUUCCAACUCUUGUGAGGAAGCAUGAAGUCUGAAGUCUUGAAAAAAUGGAAAGCAAAACUUUCAACAACGGAUCUCUUGGCUCUGGCAACGAUGAAGAACGCAGCGAAACGCGAAAGGUAAUGCGAAUUGCAGAAUCAGUGAGUCAUCGAAUCUUUGAACGCACAUUGCGCCUCUCGGUAUUCCGGGAGGCACGCCUGUUCGAGCGCCAUUACACACUCCAAGCAGCAGCUUGAUGUUGGGCGACGUCUGAAGACCGGAGGAUUUCCCGAGAGGGAGGCUCAGGCGGAGGACGCGCCUGGAACGCGUGGGCGGCGGACGCCAGACCGCGAGCGUAGCAAGACAUGAUGUCACCCGCUCUGGUGGAUCUGGUGAACGACCAGUCUUUUGUCAAGGAAUCAACGAGUUUGGCCUCGGAUCAGGCGGGGAUACCCGCUGAACUUAAGCAUAUCAAAGCCCCGGAGGGAAAAGG